Molecule: ribosomal RNA, 502 nt
Filed under: uncultured bacterium
Lineage: Bacteria
Description: bacterial SSU rRNA
Rfam family: Bacterial small subunit ribosomal RNA
Source: RNAcentral
GAUUAACGCUGGCGGCAUGCCUAAUACAUGCAAGUCGAACGGAAGCAGCAAUGCUUUAGUGGCGAACGGGUGAGUAACACGUAGGGAACCUACCUAUACGACGAGGAUAACUACUGGAAACGGUAGCUAAAAACUGGAUAGGAUCAAUUGAGGCAUCUUGAUUGAUUUAAAGAUCCUUCGGGAUUACGUAGAGAUGGCCCUGCGGCGCAUUAGCUAGUUGGUGAGGUAACGGCCCACCAAGGCGACGAUGCGUGGCUGAGCUGAGAGGCUAAACAGCCACACUGGGACUGAGACACGGCCCAGACUCCUACGGGAGGCAGCAGUAGGGAAUUUUCGGCAAUGGGGGAAACCCUGACCGAGCAAUGCCGCGUGAACGAUGAAGGUCUUCGGAUUGUAAAGUUCUGUGAUUGGGGAAGAAUGGUAUUCUUAGGGAAUGAGGAGUACAUGACGGUACCCGAUUAGAAAGCCCCGGCUAACUAUGUGCCAGCAGCCGCGGUAAUUA